Molecule: ribosomal RNA, 305 nt
Filed under: uncultured bacterium
Lineage: Bacteria
Description: bacterial SSU rRNA
Rfam family: Bacterial small subunit ribosomal RNA
Source: RNAcentral
AAGUACCUAGGGAGGCAGCAGUGGGGGAUAUUGCACAAUGGGGGGAACCCUGAUGCAGCGACGCCGCGUGGGUGAAGGAGCGUUUCGGCGCGUAAAGCCCUAUCGGCAGGGAAGAAGAUGACGGUACCUGACUAAGAAGCCCCGGCUAACUACGUGCCAGCAGCCGCGGUAAUACGUAGGGGGCAAGCGUUAUCCGGAUUUACUGGGUGUAAAGGGGGCGCAGACGGCAAUGCAAGCCAGGAGUGAAAGCCCGGGGCCCAACCCCGGGACUGCUCUUGGAACUGCAUGGCUGGAGUACAGGAGGG